GACGUAGGGUGCCAGCGUUGUUCGGAAUUACUGGGUGUAAAGGGUUCGUAGGCGGUGUAGCAAGUCGGGAGUGAAAUCUCUGGGCUUAACCCAGAGGCUGCUUCCGAAACUGCUGUGCUUGAGUGUGGGAGAGGCGCGUGGAAUUGCAGGUGUAGCGGUGAAAUGCGCAGAUAUCAGGAAGAACACCCGUGGCGAAGGCGGCUCUCUGGGACGGUACUGACGCUGAGACGCGAAAGCGUGGGGAGCGAACGGG
Molecule: ribosomal RNA, 253 nt
Filed under: uncultured bacterium
Lineage: Bacteria
Description: partial 16S ribosomal RNA
Rfam family: Bacterial small subunit ribosomal RNA
Source: RNAcentral